GGCUUGUCUGAGUGCAGUGAUCUUUACAAUUAACUGAUCACAACCAGUCACGGAUUUCUUUGUUCCUUCUCCACUCCCACUGCUUCACUUGACUAACCUUAA
This is an unclassified non-coding RNA of Otolemur garnettii (small-eared galago), 102 nucleotides long. It matches the Rfam family "Y RNA". Rfam says of the family: Y RNAs are components of the Ro ribonucleoprotein particle (Ro RNP), in association with Ro60 and La proteins. The Y RNAs and Ro60 and La proteins are well conserved, but the function of the Ro RNP is not known. Lineage: Eukaryota; Metazoa; Chordata; Mammalia; Primates; Galagidae. The record is from Ensembl.